Molecule: unclassified non-coding RNA, 208 nt
Filed under: Hevea brasiliensis (rubber tree)
Lineage: Eukaryota; Viridiplantae; Streptophyta; Magnoliopsida; Malpighiales; Euphorbiaceae
Source: RNAcentral
GCACAAUUCGAGCUAUUGCUGAGGUUAGGGUUUAUGCUUUAAUUAGCUAUUCUCUUUCUUUGGCUGUUAUGUGUGUGUUCAAUUGAUUGUGUUUGUGCGUAUGGCCCAUUAGUAUAUAAAAAGUUCCAUUUGAGGUUUUAAUGCGAAAUGUUAUGUAAUUUAGUUCUUGCGUGAAUUAAAUUCUACAAGAAAGGAAAAAGGGUUCUGG